RNAcentral lists this ribosomal RNA (485 nucleotides) under uncultured bacterium. Its description in RNAcentral is "partial 16S ribosomal RNA". It matches the Rfam family "Bacterial small subunit ribosomal RNA", at positions 899 to 1397 of the family's 1533-position model. The record is from RNAcentral.
ACUCAAAGGAAUAGACGGGGGCCCGCACAAGCAGCGGAGCGUGUGGUUUAAUUCGAUGCAACGCGAAGAACCUUACCUGGGCUUGACAUAUCGGUGGUAGGGAACCGAAAGGGGACCGACCCGCAAGGGAGCCGAUACAGGUGCUGCAUGGCUGUCGUCAGCUCGUGCCGUGAGGUGUUGGGUUAAGUCCCGCAACGAGCGCAACCCUCGUCGCUAGUUACCAUGUCUAGCGAGACUGCCGGGUCUAACUCGGAGGAAGGCGGGGAUGACGUCAAGUCAGCAUGGCCCUUACGUCCAGGGCUACACACACGCUACAAUGGCCGGUACAAAGCGCCGCAAUGGGGUGACCCGGAGCAAAUCGCAUCAAAGCCGGUCUCAGUUGGGAUUGCAGGCUGCAACUCGCCUGCAUGAACGCGGAGUUGCUAGUAACCGCAGGUCAGCACACUGCGGUGAAUACGUUCCCGGGCCUUGCACACACCGCCCGU